This 370-nucleotide ribosomal RNA is filed under the name Shigella flexneri. RNAcentral describes it as "bacterial SSU rRNA". It matches the Rfam family "Bacterial small subunit ribosomal RNA", at positions 1 to 367 of the family's 1533-position model. Lineage: Bacteria; Pseudomonadati; Pseudomonadota; Gammaproteobacteria; Enterobacterales; Enterobacteriaceae. The record is from RNAcentral.
AAAUUGAAGAGUUUGAUCAUGGCUCAGAUUGAACGCUGGCGGCAGGCCUAACACAUGCAAGUCGAACGGUAACAGGAAGCAGCUUGCUGUUUCGCUGACGAGUGGCGGACGGGUGAGUAAUGUCUGGGAAACUGCCUGAUGGAGGGGGAUAACUACUGGAAACGGUAGCUAAUACCGCAUAACGUCGCAAGACCAAAGAGGGGGACCUUCGGGCCUCUUGCCAUCGGAUGUGCCCAGAUGGGAUUAGCUAGUAGGUGGGGUAACGGCUCACCUAGGCGACGAUCCCUAGCUGGUCUGAGAGGAUGACCAGCCACACUGGAACUGAGACACGGUCCAGACUCCUACGGGAGGCAGCAGUGGGGAAUAUUGC